Molecule: transfer RNA, 73 nt
Filed under: Ardenticatenia bacterium
Lineage: Bacteria; Bacillati; Chloroflexota; Ardenticatenia
Description: tRNA-Thr
Rfam family: tRNA
About the family: Transfer RNA (tRNA) molecules are approximately 80 nucleotides in length.
Source: RNAcentral
GCCCUCGUAGCUCAGUCGGAAGAGCAACCGCCUUGUAAGCGGUCGGUCGUCGGUUCGAAUCCGUCCGAGGGCU